AAGGCUUUCGCCCAAUCCCCGCGUGCGCUCCGCUCCCAAUCCUGGUCGCAGGGUUGGCCACACCUCUCCUUCCUCCCUCGCUCGACAGCGCCGCACCCCCUCCCUCCUUGCUGCUCGUCCGGAUAGCCGCCGGUCGCCGCAUCCCUUCUCCCCCUUCCUCCUCCUUCCUCCUUCCCGCUGGCGCCAACAAGGGGGCCUCCUGCAUGGACGGCCAGGUCUUCGAACCGGGGGUAGAGGAGCAGGGGAGGGCCAAGAAGCCGGCGGUGGGGGUGGAGAAGCCAGGAGGGCCAAGAAGCCAGCGGUGGGUGUGGAGCAACUAGGAGGGCCAAGAAGCCGGCGGUGGGGGUAGAGGAGCAGAGGAGGGCCAAGAAAGCCGGCCGGGAGCACACCACCGUAGGCGUCAAGGGAGCCGUGGACAAGCCGUCAGGAGGAGAAAGCUCCCAGUUUGAGGAGGAGACUACGGCACAGGUUGUGUUUUGAAAUCUAGAUUGAUUUGGUACUGUAUGUGGUGUGGUGUGCCCUUGCCAGGAAUAUCUAAUGUGUGUCAUGACACAAUCAAUUGUAGAGCUGGGAAGCAUGAUGCUCGAUUAGUAGACUGCCGCUUGAGAAGAAGCUUGUCAUAUGUCUCUUCGAGCCGCGGCAGCUAGGGGCCUUCGAAGAACACGGGGUUUGACAUAGCCAUUGAGCAAGUGCAGGAUACAAACCAGAUGUAAACAAAGAGGAUAUGGAUUCAGUACGGCCACGAGUGAAGGAAUGCUGUUCCAAUUUGGAUCUUGGAGAAUGUUUUCUCACUGUGGUUCAGGUUAAACUGUUGUUCUACUGUUCCUACUCAGCCUCCUAAUGUUCUAUGUCUUGAUGCGCCUUCUUCCAGCUUCUCUAUUGGUUUUCUCUUCACACUUAUGUUUGAAUUGAUGGCUAGAAAUACAGAGUGCCAUUUUUUCUUAUGGAGUGAUAAUUAAGAAGACAUACAUAGCUGCAAAGGGAUUGCUCAAAUGAAACAAGUUGCUAAUUUUGUAUCUUUGACACUCAUGGAAAAGGUGCAUGCCAAUCCUAAUUAUAACCAUAUCACAUAUAUGUGGAACUGCAUUAUACGAAUGGUGUUAUCAGGAUGAUAGAUUUCAGUCAUAGAACUGAACUGUUCCUUUUCUUGGUGUAUAUGUGUCAUAUACAGAAUUCAGAAAAAAAAAUUGGACACUACAAUUCAUAUAUUUACUAUUUAGAAUCGAGACAUCCAAUCAUGUUAGGAUAUGAUAUGGUCUUCUUCCAGGGGCUCUAAGUAUUAUGAAUGUGCAUAUCCUGAUACAUGUAAUUAUAAGGUGGUUACAAGCUAGCUGGACAUGUGUGGCAAAAUGCUUGCAUUUCAGUUUAUGUAGGAAGAGGAGCAUCAAUACCUACUUCUCCUGCCCUGUAUAUGUAACGUCUUUGUUCCAAGCAAUUAGUAUAUGGUAUUAGAGAUUCUUAUAUUCAUAUAUUUGUUUGAAACUUGGUGGAUUCCUACCAUCUCUAUAUAAUUACAACAAAACCAAUAGGUCAGAGCGAUGUGUCUCUUAGUGCCAUCGAUUGGGUACAUACGAAGCCUCUCAUCCCACAGGUUCAUUGUUUCUACCUCAAACCAAUCCUGCCUCCUAAAUUAUUGAUACAUGUGUUGCUUCAUUCAUUUAUUUUGAGAACACAUAUUAAACUGGUUUGAGGUAAUUUGUUUUUUUUUUUGUUUUUUGUUUUUUGAGAUCACAUAUUAAACUGAUAACACCAUCCCUUGGCCUCCUUGGUCGUAUCAAUAAUUGUACCUGAACAGUGACAAAUCUCAAGCGACUGUUGUACCUGAACGGGUGUGGAACCAAAUAGUGGUACCGUGUUCUGAGAUCUGUUUUUUUGUGCUGCUAUCUGCAGGAAAAUUCCUAGGGAUUUGGUUGAUGGAGGCAUCGCUAUUUGUCGCUGGAUUAUCCAUUUUUGCAGCACCAGCAAAGUUGUUUUUGUUUGGAAUGGCCAGUUCUCAAUUUCUAAAUCAGCUAUACUAUACUUCUUGUCAGGUUACAUUAUCUUGCUUCGUUUCAGUCUAUAUGUAGCACAAAAAUACUAGGUGACAUGGUUGGUUUGUAUGUUACACUAAUGAACACCACCAUAAGGAAAAGGGCAUUGCACUUCUUUGUUAAUAUUUGGUCUGUUCCUAUUCGGUGACAUACUAUUCUGGUUGGUUAGCUUCACGCUCUAAAGCUAGGAUUUUAAUUCUUUGAGUGUAAGUAAUGUAUUGUUAUACCAGAUGAAAUAUAUGCAGACACUGCUAACAUGAUUUUUCUUAUAGGCGGAAGUAUAUUUUUUAAAUCCAUCUGUUCAAUUCUUAGGACCAUACUUUACUAGAAGUCCAGAACUAUGUGAUUUGGUAAUUGUGUCAAAGCUCGCCUGGUUGUGCCGUAUUGCAUUGUGAAUGCUAUGUUGUUGGGGAAUCAGCGAGCUUGGUUAUAUUUCUGUGGCUGUCAUGUUAACUGGUGGCCGUAGUGCUUCUUGCUAGCUACGAGUUCUUCUUGUGUGUUUGCUUAGUGGCUUAGUUAUGUGUGUGUGUGUGUGUCCGGGCACCUGUUGUGUUUUUUGCUUGCUUGUUGGUGCGUGCAUGAUUGUUGUGACUGGGCGCUGGUUGUUCGGUGCUGGGCUGCUGAUGGCAUGCUACCUGCUUCGAAAAAAGGAAUGAAAGGAAGCAUUUGUUCAUAGAACAAAUAUAUUGUAAAUUUUUCCAUCGAAAGCCUGCAUAUUUAGCAAGGAAAAGGAGUCUAUAGAGCCUUAGGUUCUUGUUAUAUGUUGAUUUUGCAAAAUUUCUGCAGCUAUAUAUUUGCUCAAUCCAAAAGACAAAUUGUACUCAACCUUCAGUAUAAUGUAUUUCUAAUUGUUCAUAACUGCUUAAUUUUUUGUUGUGAUUUUGCAAGAUAUUGAAAUUAUUGUAUUUCGAAAUUGUUACACUGAUUCCUCGAUGCUCUGUUCAUGGCUUUUUUAUUAUUUUAUCCUUCUUUGCUUUUUUCCUUUCCUACAAGAAGAUGUCGAGUCAUGUAAUAUGUUCAAAGAAGAGAGAAUCUGCAUUUUAUGAAUCCUUUCUUCUUUCUUCAUUGUUACUUCAAGUUAGUGAAUCAUUUAAGUUGUAUUGAGCAGCUUCAUGUGAUGGUUUCUUCGUCUACACAUCUUAUUCAGUCACGAGGCCAGUAAGAUCUUUUGCCUUUUAGGAAAAAGGGAGAUGCCAUUUAGACCUUACUCUUCCAACUUGAUCUUUAACUUGCUACUACUGUUUCUAAGCAUUUUUUAUUUGCUUCAGAGGAUGAGCUCACCUUAUUCAGUGGAUGUGCCAAGUAAAAAAAAUUAGAAACUGAGCAAUUAGUUCCACUCUUAUAUUUUGUACAGCAGUCCAAAUUAUCCAAUAAAUCAUUUGUUAGCAGGGUCAAAUUAUAGAAGUUGAAUCAGUUGUUCCAAAUUACCCAGUGAGACUUAUUCCAUUUGUUUAUCCUUUUGUCCUUUUAAUCAAGAACAAUGUUUAGAGCUUACAUGGUUGUCGAAAUUUAGUUAUGUAAAAGAGGAAUAUUGAUAUCAUGCAAUGAUCAGUGCAGAUUAGGAUAGUUAUAGAGUUCUUCCUCAGUUUUCAUUGAGCAAAGAUUGAAUCUGUAUGAUUUGUUCUAAUACCAAGUAAAUCUUGGUCUGCAUUGUGUUAGUUUUCCCACUGAGUUUUUUUGGCUAUUUUCGUUUAAAUUGGUAGUUGAUGUGAAAAAGUGUGUUGACAUGCAUGUAACCAAAUCAUGUAUUAAUGUGAGGUACUACAUAUACUUGCCUAUCUCUUUCCAGAAGAACAGCCCUCUUGAUCCAACUAGGAACAUCAAAACCAAAUGGGAUAUCAUUGAGUGGACUUCAGAUGGCCAUGCUGCCCUCUAGCUAUAGUCAUGGAAAAGAUGGUGUUCGGAGCUAUAUCUUGGAAAAUAUUUCUUGUCAUUCCAUUAAAUUUCGGAGAUAUGGAGGAGCUGGACAUGGAUGGCGAGAAGGCGGCCAGACCAGAGUUCGCCUACCCCUACUGCUAUGAGGACCAUGAGGUUGCCUCCUUGUGCGCGCAUGUAGAAGAGGAGCACCCAUUGGAGUGGAGAUAUAGUUUGCACAAUGUUCUGGUCCAGCAAAGUAUUUUAGAUGUGCAAAAGAGUAGUGUCUUGGGGUAGAAAAUUAAUAUUGAUCUUGAAACCUCGAGAUAGAAAAAAGAGCUUUUCACAUUUGUUGUUGUUGAGUCCUGACUAGCAAUUAUAUAACCCUCAGGCCUCAGUAGCAAUUAUGUUACCUUCUUAUUUGUUCUCAGGUUACUUGCCUUCUUCUUUCAACCCAUCUCUCUAAGAAUUAUAGUGCAGGUUUUGUAGGGCAGGUUAAAGAACCCAAUACAAUGCUCUUUGAGUCGAGUUUUUUUAUAUUCGCUGGCA
Triticum aestivum (bread wheat) is the source of this 4433-nucleotide long non-coding RNA. RefSeq lists it as uncharacterized. NCBI's taxonomy places the organism in Eukaryota, Viridiplantae, Streptophyta, Magnoliopsida, Poales, Poaceae. The record is from RefSeq and is a predicted model, not a curated record. The transcript has 8 exons.